UCUUUUGUAACUCUUCCGCGCAUGAUUACACUGAGAUUGAAUUUUGAUUCUGUGGAGAGAUUUAGGCUUCUUGCUUACCGGUUGUAUAAGGUCCUUAGAGGUCUCUCCAGUGUGAAGCACCUAUCUCUCCUUUUGAUGGCUUUAAGGUGGUUCUAAAUAAUGCAGUAGAACUUCUUGCACAAGUACCAUUGUUCAAUGACGUAACCACUUUGGUAUUGGAAGUAGCUCCGGUAGAUAUUGGUAGUAAAGUGCUAUUGAUCAUGCUCCAAUACUUCCCCCGUCUUCAAACUCUGAUAUUCAAUGAGUAACCGCAAUGUUUUCUCUUGUAUCGUGGCCUCAUGCAACUUUGUUAACAUGGUCGAGUUAUGAUAGUUUUAGGGGAUUAAACUGUCGUCGAAUAAUAUAGAAGAUGAUGGGGUGUUGGAGCCACUGCCUUCAUAUUUCUUGUCGCAUCUUCAGACGUUUAAAGUGAAUCAAUUCUGGGGAAGCCCGAACGAGCUUGACGCUUUAAAGGUUUAGUUCAAGCAUGCAACGGUCUUGGAGAAGAUGGUUCUGGUUUGCUGCACAAAUUUUAAAGGGGGUCGAGAGAUGAAGACGCGAGUUGCCAAACAGUUAUCACGUCUUCCCUAAGGAUCAGAAAGCUGUGAAGUUCUUGAAUUUUGAUAGAUCCCAAGGUUGUAAUUUGUACUAUAGACCUUAGCUUAUUUUCUGACAUCCCUUCCUUUUGAACUUACUGACCUGCAAUGUCUUGUGUUUAUUUGUUUUGAUAAGCACAAAUGGUUACUGAUUCAACUGUAUGUUGAUUAUGUUCAACUUCACUGACAGAGUAUAACAUGCACAUUUUGGCAAAACAGUCAAGUCUGUAGGGUUACUUUCUGACCAUUGUGUACUAAGAAGGGUAAUGACUUUCACACUUUUCA
Long non-coding RNA from Pyrus x bretschneideri (Chinese white pear), 920 nucleotides. RefSeq lists it as uncharacterized. The record is from RefSeq and is a predicted model, not a curated record. NCBI's taxonomy places the organism in Eukaryota, Viridiplantae, Streptophyta, Magnoliopsida, Rosales, Rosaceae. The transcript is spliced from 2 exons.